AACUUUUGGCAAUGGAUCACUUGGCUCUCGCAUCGAUGAAGAACACAGCGAAAUGUGAUAAGUAAUGUGAAUUUCCGAUUCCAGUGAAUCAUCGAAUCUUUGAACGCAUCUUGCGCUCCUUGCCCUUCCAAGGAGCAUGCCUGUUUGAGUGUCGUUAAACUAUCAAAACACUUUUCUUGGGUGUUUUGGACUUGGGAGUAUCUUGCUGGUCUGUUUGGGCCAGCUCUCCUCAAAAGCAUUAGCUUUGGAGACCAUCAGUGUGAUAAUUUGUUUACACUGACUUGAGUGUCUCAGCUUCUCCUUUUCAAUAAUACCCCUUUGACCUCAAAUCAGGUAGGACUACCCGCUGAACUUAAGCAUAUCAAUAAGCGGAGGCU
Molecule: unclassified non-coding RNA, 377 nt
Filed under: uncultured Amanita
Lineage: Eukaryota; Fungi; Basidiomycota; Agaricomycetes; Agaricales; Amanitaceae
Description: sequence contains ITS2
Rfam family: 5.8S ribosomal RNA (bases 1-154)
Source: RNAcentral